Molecule: transfer RNA, 66 nt
Filed under: Onthophagus vulpes
Lineage: Eukaryota; Metazoa; Arthropoda; Insecta; Coleoptera; Scarabaeidae
Description: tRNA-Asn
Source: RNAcentral
UUAAUUGAAGCCAAAAAGCGGCAUAUUACUGUUAAUGAUAAAAUUGGAUUUAAUAUCCCAAUUAAA